RNAcentral lists this ribosomal RNA (674 nucleotides) under uncultured fungus. RNAcentral describes it as "eukaryotic LSU rRNA". It matches the Rfam family "Eukaryotic large subunit ribosomal RNA", at positions 24 to 664 of the family's 3401-position model. Lineage: Eukaryota; Fungi. The record is from RNAcentral.
CCCCCGCUGAAUUUAAGCAUAUCAAUGAGCGGAGGAAAAGACCCUCACAAGGAUUCCGCUAGUAUACGUGCGAGUGAAGCGGGAAGAGCUCAAAUUUAAAAUCUGGCGGUUCCGUGACCUGUCCUAGUUGUAAUCUAGAGAAGUCCUUUCCGUGCUGGACCGUGAUACAACUCUCUUGGAAUGGAGCGUCAUAGAGGGUGAGAAUCCCGUCUUUGACAUGCACUACCAGCGGUUCUGUGAAGCACUCUCGAAGAGUCGAGUUGUUUGGGAAUGCAGCUCACAAUGGGUGGUAAAUUCCAUCUAAAGCUAAAUAUGGGCGAGACACCGAUAGCGAACAAGUACCGUGAGGGAAAGAUGAAAAGAACUUUGAAAAGAGAGUUAAACAGUACGUGAGAUUGUUGAAAGGGAAACGUUUCAAGUCAGUCGCGUUGGCUGGUAAUCAACCUUUGCCAUCUUGCUGGGCUUACUUUCCAGUCGACGGGUCAGCAUCAAUUUUGACUGUCAUAUAAAGGGGUGGGGAAUGUGGCAUCUUCGGAUGUGUUAUAGCCCCUUGGCACAUGUGACGGUUGGGAUUGAGGAAAUUAGCAUCCCUCCACUCGUCGGGGCCUACAAGCCCACGUAACAUGCUCAGGAUGCUGGCAUAACCGCUUGAACCGACCCGUCUCGAAACACGG